GACGAACCGUGCGAACGUUGUUCGGAAUCAUUGGGCGUAAAGCGCGUGUAGGCGGCCCGGUAAGUCCGCUGUGAAAGUCGGGGGCUCAACCCUCGAAUGCCGGUGGAUACUGUCGGGCUAGAGUGUGGGAGAGGCGAGUGGAAUUCCUGGUGUAGCGGUGAAAUGCGCAGAUAUCAGGAGGAACACCAAUUGCGAAGGCAGCUCGCUGGAACGUAACUGACGCUGAGACGCGAAAGCGUGGGGAGCAAACAGG
This 253-nucleotide ribosomal RNA is filed under the name uncultured bacterium. Its description in RNAcentral is "partial 16S ribosomal RNA". It matches the Rfam family "Bacterial small subunit ribosomal RNA", at positions 524 to 776 of the family's 1533-position model. The record is from RNAcentral.